Molecule: long non-coding RNA, 269 nt
Filed under: Mytilus galloprovincialis (Mediterranean mussel)
Lineage: Eukaryota; Metazoa; Mollusca; Bivalvia; Mytilida; Mytilidae
Source: RNAcentral
AUGUUAAGUAGUGAUUUGGUCCAGUUCAAAAAGGUCAAAUUUUAUCACGUCUGAAGCUGUCAAACUGAAUUUUACACCCCCUUAAUACAGAAUUGUCAAUAUUUUGAGUUAGAGCUGGUAGAAGUUUCUAUAAUUUUGAUAUUAUUUGUCUCACUGGUAGUGCACUACACUGUAAAAAUCUUUUUGAGAAAGAGCAGGUGCGAUUUUUUUUAAUUUGAAUUUAUUGUCUAAAAGAAAUGCACUACGAAAUAACUGUGUUCUCUGGCCAA